Molecule: long non-coding RNA, 8507 nt
Organism: Equus caballus (horse)
Lineage: Eukaryota; Metazoa; Chordata; Mammalia; Perissodactyla; Equidae
Source: Ensembl
UUUUGGCAUGCCAUAUCCAUGUUCUCAUAUUCCCUCAAGUAAUAAAACCCUGAGUUUUAGCUGGGUGUAUUUCCAGGGGAAGUGUGGCCAUAUAACUAAGUUCUGGCCAAUAGAAUGUGAGCAGAAGUGGCAUAUGCAAUUUCUGGGUUGUGCCCCUUAAAGUGGAAAGUGUGCCUUUUAUUCUACUCCUUCUUCACCCAUCUUGGUGCCUGGAACUUGGACUUGGUGACAAGCCAUGUAGAACCAAGCAGAUGAGGUUAAUAUUCUAGGGACACCGGUGGAACUAUAGGAUGGAAGGAGCCAACAUAUCAAAAUUAUGUGAGAAAUGAAUCAGACUGCUAAAUGAGAAAUAAAAUUCUAUGUUGUUUAAAGCCCUGUACGUCUUUGUUAAAGCAGCUUAAUCUGUAUCCUAAUUGAAACACCUCACAAUUUUAAUUUCAAUUGUAUUGCAUUUAGAAUUUAUGCUUUUCUUACUAAUUGCUAUUUCAUUUUCAUUAGUUGUUACAGAGUAUGUAAGUCAAGGAGCAAUCAAACAUUCCAAGAAAUAUACACAUUUCUGUAUAAAGAGGAAUGAUAAAUUUGCUAAAAUUGAUGGCCAUUAACAUCACGCAAUAGUUCAAAAUGAUCAUUUUAUUGGCUAAUUAUAAAAAUCCAAAUCCAGUGAACAAACCCUGUUCUCAAGGUUAUGUACAAUGCCAUCUACUCAUAAAGAACAUUAAUGUAAUCUGUUAGGGGAAGUGCACCUGAACAUUGAACUUGGUUCUUUUUGGAGCAGCUAGGGCAAAAGCUAGAAGUAUUCCAAUAAUUCAUGAUAAGCAAACAAUUUCCAGUUGCUAAAUCCUCUUAGCAGAUGUAAAUGAAUUAUUCUAAAUCUAUAUUUAACAACAUUUGACCCUCAGUUUUAAAGUUGGCUAAGAAUAGUUUGUUCAGAAGAGAUAAUGGACACAUUUAAAACUUUCUGAUAUGCACUUGGAUUGUUCUAACUAUGAACAAUUUUAGAAAGUAGAUUGCUAUUAGAUGCAAAUUUCCACACAUAAAUAAGUCAGCUAGAGAACUAAGUGAGAAAGCAAGUUUUGAGUCAUUUCUCUUAGAAUUCUAAAGACAAGGAAGCAGUCAGGAAAGGAGAAAUAAUUUUAAAUAAAGAGCCCUAGUGCCUAGAAGUUUUACUUCACUGUCAUGUUCAAUAUGACCAUAAUUUCUUUUCUACUGUGGCUACCACAUAUAAAAGACAGUGAAGAUAGAAGUAGCAUUAGAAGAGGAGAAGAAAUGUGUGUUUCUAGUCUGUCUAACUUUCUUUGGGCUACCAAGAUUGAGCGAGAGUGGUAAGUCAGAAAACAGAAGCCCUAAAUGUUGCUGAAAGAAAAAGAAAUCACACGGCCUUCAGAGAACCUUUAGGGAGCAUCUGGGAGAGGCUAUGAGGACUUUCAGUUUCACAAACCAUGAAUAAGUCCUAAGAGUCAUCUCAUUUCAAAAUGAAGAUUUGUAGCAAUAAAUUAACUUCUCUCAACUUAGCUAUUUUCACUAAUGGAAGUGAUGCCCAUGUCACAUGAACCAAUCACAGAACGUCAGUCAUCUAUCCCAGAUCUUAUCCUGUGUUAAUGGACUGAAUUUUUUCCCCUCCAAAAUAUGCAUGUUGAAGCCCUAACCCGCAAUGUGACUGCAUUUGGAGAUACAGCCUUUAAGGAGGUAAUUUAGGUUAAAUGAGGUCAUAAGGCUGGGCCCUAAUCCAAUAGGACUGGUAUCCUUACAAGAAGAGGAAGAGCCACCACAGAUCUCCCUCUCUCCAUGUACACACAGACAAAAGGCCAUGUGAAGACACAGUGAGAAAGUAGCCAUCUACAAGCCAAGGAGAGGGGCCUCAGGAGAAAUCAACCCUGUCAGUACCUUGAUUUUAGACUUCCAGUCACCAAAGCUGUGAGAAAAUAAACUUUUGUUGUUUAAACCACCAGUCUGUGGUAUUCUGUAAUGGCAGCCCAAGCUAACUAAGACAUCCUGUUACUCUUGUCCCCGCCCGACAGGCACAAUGCUCUAGCAGCAGCCCUUAGCUGCAGUCAAGUAAACGUCUCCAAAGACACAUCGCUUCUUUUCUAUUCCAAACUUUUGCUCAUGUUACUCCUCAUUAUCACUAUAUCUGACUGUUUUGAUAAAGAGCACCAUUAUUUCUUAAAGUAUAACAGUAGGCAAAGUUAGUUAAUCUCUCUCUCUCAGAUCUUCCUGCCUAUGAUUGAAGCCUAUUUGGAAGAGGAGGCUACAACUAAAGCACUAAUGGGGGUUUUCUUACUCUGAUUGCAGACAGAGCACACACAUGGAACUAAACAACCUCUUCCAACAGGAAUCAUAAAGUAAUUGCUUGCUAAAUUUGCAUUUGUCCAGCACUUUCACAUACAUAGAUUUCAUUUGAUGCUCACAGGAGAAGACUAGGAAGCUGAUAAUUUUCUUGACCAAAACUAGAUAUAACUAUGAAAUAUUAUUUUAAAGUAAUUAGUAUUCAAUAUUAUAAUUUAUUGGUUUUAUUUUUCCAAGAAAAUAAAGUCUUAACAUAUUUAUCUGAAAAAGAUUCUAUCUACCAAAAAUGUCCUUUUUUGGUAAAGGGGAUAGAUUUGUACUGAAGCAAUCAAAGCUCUCACAUAUAUUCACAAAAUGGCUCAUCAAGAUUAAGGAUCCCAGCAUAGACAAAAGAGAUUUCUCCAAAUAGAAACCAUACUUGAUACUUGCAAUUCACUUGCAUCAUAUUCUAAGCAAAAAAAAAACCAAAAAAAAAAGCCCAUUGAGUUCAAGUAAUUCAUCAAAUUUAGGAUAUAAGAGAUGUAGCAAGGCCAAAUUGGAGUAAUAAAUUUACUAACUACUAAAGUUGAUUUUUUUUAGAAUACACUAUCAGUUCUUUUGUCAACUUUUGAGUAUUUCAGGUUACUCAUUUACAUGAGCACUUUGGUCUUUCCCAGCAAGGACACCUGUUUCUUUCCUUUCUGCUCAGCUACCAAAAUAGCUACCCAUUUUUACAGACACUAGGUCUCAAAUGAGGUUUGAGGUCUUAUUUUUUUUCUCUCUUCCAGUAGAUGCCACUUGUCACCUUCUAAAGAAGUUUUCUUUUUAGUAAUAAAGGUUUCACAAGUUUAGAAAUACAUCUUAAAAUUUAACUGGAACCUUAGAAGCCAUUGGUCAUAUUAAUAAAUCACAUGGAUUGGCAUAUCUUAAAAUUUAGUGGUGGCAUUAUUCAGCAAAAUGGGCCUCAAUGAAACACAACACUUAAAUAAAUAUUAUAACUCCUAGGAAGCAUUUCCCAGGGAGGCAUUUUAAAUUUAAGUUAUACUGAUUAAUUAUCAAAAAAAGAUUAUCCUCUUGGGAGAAAUUUUUCUAUGGGUCAAUAAUAAGCUUCUUUUCUAUUUUUCAAAGAUGAAUAAAAACUUACUUUAGAGAGAAGGAAGAAAAUAUUUCAGAAGACAGAAGUUGGCCUCUGAACAAAUUCCUUCUGUGACCGUGCUCACGUGUGAAACCCACGCAAAAUAGUUGCCACUGCUUCAGCUUUACCUGGUACAGACAAUGGGUGAUUUUGUAUGAUUCAGAGUUUAUAUCUCACUUGCAUCAUUACUCACCGUUCAGACUUAAAAUGUCACCAAGACUCAAUGGCUUCUCUGGGCAUAUAGGCACAGUCGUACUAUUCCUUUUCUGUGGUAUUUGAAGUUGUUUAUAUGAUGUGCUGCAUAAUCACCCCAUGGGUAAAGUUUCAACGAAGGAAAAAAAACCAACCUUAUUUUAUUCUGAUUAAAAGGAUAAUAUAGGGGCCGGCCUGGUGGUGCAGCGAUUAAGUGCGCACGUUCCGCUUCGGCGGCCCGGGGUUUGCUGGUUCGGAUCCCAUGCUGUGGUCGGCAUCCCACAUAUAAAGUAGAGGAAGGUGGGCACAGAUGUUAGCUCAGGGCCAAUCUUCCUCAGCAAAAAGAGGAGGAUUGGUUGCAGAUGUUAGCUGAGGGCUAAUCUUCCUCAAAAAAAAAGGAUAAUAUAUUUUCAUAUACAAUAUUCAAACAACUCAUAAAAAUGUAUAGAAAAAAGUAAAAAACACCCCAAAGUCCUAGUUUUUAUAUGUGGCUACUAUAAACUAUUGUUAUGAUUUUGGAGAAUAUCUUCUCAGAUGUCUCUCUAACAAUAUAUAUAUUCUAAAAUUUUAAUGAACCAAUACUAAGUAUGUUAUUUUUGUAACCUGAUUUUUUUCACUUAUCAGUGUGGCUUUCCAUGUCAGUAUAUAAUUGGUAUACAUAGAUAUAUAUCAUAUUCUUUAAUGGCUGCAUAAUAUUCCUAUCCUCGUGUAUGUCACAACGUAUUGAAACAAUCACCUCUUUAGGUUGCUUCCAACUUUUUGAGAUUGUAAACUACAAUGUAAAGACUAUGUGAUUUCAAUUUUGUGUAUUUGUCCAAUUAUUUCUUUGGGGCAAUUUCUUAGCAAUGGACUUUGCUGGAUAAAAAAAUAUCCACAUUUUGAACUUUUGAUUUCUUUUAAAUCUAUAUUCCCAAAUUGCCUUCAGAAAGUUCUGUACCAAUUUACUCUCACCAGCACUGUAUGAGAAUGUCUGUUCCCCCACGGCCUUGCAAACACUGAGUUUUGCCCAUCCUUUCCAACUCUGGCAAUAUAAUAGGUGUAUUAGUCCCAUUGCUGUGUCACAAGUUACCACAAACUUAGCAAAUUAAAAUGUAUAUAGCUCACAGUUUCUGUGAAUCAGGAGUCCAGGUACAGUUUAAUUAUCUAAGAUUUCUCACAAAGCUGAAAUCAAGGCAUGAGCCAGUGCUGGGGUCUCAUGUGAAGGCUCAACUGAGGAAUGAUUCACUUCCAAUCUCACUUACUUGGUUGUUGGCAGGAUUCAGUUCCUUUCGGGUUUUUGGACUGAACAGUUCUCAGCUGGCUGUUGGCCAGAGGCUGCCCUCAGUUCUUGCCACAUGUGCCUCUCCAACAUGGCAACUUGCUCCAUCAAAGCCAUCAAUGAAGAAAGUCUGUUAGCCAGAUCAGAAUCUUUUUUCUGAUCACAGAAAUGACCUUCCCUCACUGCUGAGGUAGUCCGUUCGUUCUUAGAAGCAAGUUACUUAAGGGGACAGAAUUACACAAAGCUGUAAAUAUCAGAAGGCAGGGAUCACUAAGGGCCAUCUUGGAAAAUGCCUACCACAGACCAUCCUCUGGUCCCCAGUGAUUCACAUCACUUUCAUAUGCCAAAUACAUUCAUCUUCUCCUAAGGUCUUCAAGAGUUUCAUCCCAUUAUAGCAUCUGCUCAAAGUUUAGGAUCUCAUCAUCUAAAUUAGGUCCAUGUGAAGAUGAGGCUCCUUAGGUGUAGUUUUGUUAAGUAUGUCUCCUGGAGCACAAUUUAGGGGAAGUGUGAAAGUGAAGAGACAAGUUUUCUUCCUCCUGGAUACCCAACAUACAACGCUGUGACAAGCAAAAGAAAACAACAAUAGACAUUCCCAAAGGGGGGAAAUGGAAGUACGAAGGCAUCAGUGUACCACAGCAAUUCUGAAAUACAAUUCAGCAAAUAUUGGAAGUUCUUUGAUUAGGUUUAAAAGUCUAGGAAUAAUUCUCCGUGGGUCUUGGCUCCACCCUAUGGACUCUUGGUUUCACGUUCUGAGUCUCCACUUCUUUUUCACAAAAGGUAGUACCAGUUUGCAGCUUAGUUUUCUCAGCCUGCCUUCUGCCAGUAGAAGUUUGGAAGUCCAAUACCUUCUUUUCAUUUUGUACUCUCUGUCCCUUUCAGUCCAAAGUGGCAGUGUUUUUGGUGAUACAAUUUUCUCAAAAGUUUUGUCAGCUGUCUAUGAAUUUCACUGAGAUUCAUUGCAUUGGACAAAAACCCCAUCCAAAAAUCUCUUCUAGGUAAAACCUUCUCUACUUUGGGCCCUGUUGAUUUUGCUGAGGAACAAUGCCCUUAAACUUCCUAGAAGGUCUCUGGUUUAAUUAAGAGGUUCCUUGAGGCACACCCUUCAUUUCUUUCAAGGUCCUUUUGUUUGACCGAAUAUUCCGUUCCUUUGAUCUUUCUGAGGUUUUAACAAAAGGCUGUAUAGUCACAUCUUCAGUUUUUUCUCUAUGCCACUUUUCCAGUCAGUGCUUGGAAGCCAUUCUUAGUUUUAGGAUCUUUUCCCAUCUGAAAAGGCUGAAAAUUUUCAAAAUCAUCAGGUCCUGGCUCCUUUUGCUUUACAGUUCUUUCUCUGAAUUUAUUUCUCUCCUCUAACAUUUUACUAUAAAUAUUGAGAAGAAACCUCGUAGCACCUUCAACACUUUUGCUUGGAAAUUUCCAUAACUAUAUAUCUAAAUUCAUCAUCUACACGUUCUGCUUUCCAUAUAAUUGCAGGAGACAUUUGGCUAAAUUUUCUACCAUUACAUAACAAAGAUGUCCCUUCCUCCAAAGAUGCCCCUUCUAAAAACAUGCUCCUCAUUUCCUUUUAAGCCGCACUGGCAUUGUCUUUAACAUCUAUAUGUCUACUGACAGUCUGUUCAAAGCAAUUUAGGCUUUCUCUAUCAACCUCCUCAAAAUUCUUACAGCCUGUGACUACUGCUUGGUUUCAAAGCCACUCCCCCAUUUUUAGGUAUUUAUUAUAGCAGCAUUCCACUACCAGGUACUAAAACCUCAAAAUUGUCUAUUGGUACAUAACAAUAUUACCACAAAUUUAUCAGACUAAAACAAUACAUAUCUAUUAUCUCACAGUUUCUGUGGGUCAGGAACAUGGACACAGCUUAACUGGCUGCUUUGCAUUAGGGUCUCUCAGAAGGUGUCAGCCAGCACUGGGGUCUCAUCUGAUGCUCAACCAGAGAAAGAUGUUUCCAAACUCACAUGGUGGUUGGCAGGAUUCAGUUCUUUCUGGGUUGUCAGACUGAGGGUGUUGCUUUCUUGCUGGCUGCUGGUAGGAGGCCACCCUUAUUUUCUUAGCAUAUGGGCCUCUCCUCAGGGAAGCUUACUGCAUCAAAACCAGCAAGGGAAAGUGAAAAUAGUGUCUAUUAGCAAGGUGGAAGCUACAAUUUUAUGUAACAUAAUCACAGAAGUGACAUCCCAUCGACCUUUUCCAUAUUCUAUUGGUUAGAAGCAAUAUCUCCCAUGCUCAAGGGAAGAGGAUUACACAAGGAUGUAAAUACCAGGAGGCAGGAUAACUGGGGGGCAUGUUAGACUCUUUCCUCCACAAUAUACUGAUGUCUUCAAUUUGGAAUAUUUCUUUGCACCAUUUGUAAAUACCUAUUGUGAUUUUUUAUUCACAUUAACAUCAACUAUUCUUUUAAAUAUGUUCUGAGCAUCUACCAUGUACUAGGUAUAUAGUACAAUGAUGAGCAAAACCAGACACAGUUCCUGUUCCCAUAGUCAGAAGGAGAGAGAACAUCAUAUGAAUAAACAUGAAAUUAAAAUUUUCACAAUUAUACAAAAAUUCAUGGUACUAUGAAAAUAGGUAACACGAGGAAGUGACCUGAUUUACUGGUUGGCACAGCCUCUGGUAGAAAAUGAUGUUUCAUUUGAGACAUGAAGAAUGAGCAGGAAUUAACUAGUAAAAGCAAGCAAAUCAAUUCCAUGCCCAGGGAAGAGUAAGUUCAAGGGACUUGUAUGAAUAGAAAGCAUCAAAGGAUUGAGGAAUGAACAAUAUGAUUGGAACAAAGAAACCAAGAGGUACCUCCAACUCUCAUUUCUCCUCUGGAGUCCACACCCAUGUAUCCACCUGCCUAUUUGAUAUCUUCAUCUGGGUAUUUUUCACUCCUCAAAAUCAUUGCGUAUAAAACCAAGUUACUAAUCUUGCCAAACUUAGUUCUUUCCCAAUACUCCUCACUUUAUUGAAUGGCACCACCAUCUGUCCAGUUGGAAGUAAGAAACCUAGGAGUCAUUGUCGACAAUUCCCUCUUCAAUCUCUCACCAAAAUCUUAAGGAUUUUAUCACUGGUUACAAAACAGUGUUCAUCAUAACCCAGACAUACUAUGUUCUCUCAUGCCACAGGCCUUCACUUUUGCUGGUCCCCAUGCUUGGAAAUUCCUCCCCACCCUUUCCCUUCUCUUCUUAGCAACAUUCUACUCAUCCUUCAAGACUUAAUCUAAACAUACUGCAUUUAAAGUGUUCUACUACCCCUGUGCAGAAAUAAUCCCUCCCUCUUUGGUGAUACCAAAACUUUGUAAAUACCUCCUCAUCUUUGUUACAGGUUGGGUCCUCUGGUAAGCAGACUUUGAGAUAGAUUAACAUAUAAGGAAGUGCUCUUGGAACAAAUGCCAGUGGAAGGAGGAGAAGGAAGUAGGACUGGGCAGAGGGAGAACUGAGCUGAGAUACAGUACAGACAGUCCUCAGCCAAGCCCAGGGAGUGCUCUGGGGCUAGGAUGGUCCUUUAAAUUCGUCCCAAGUUGGGGCAAGAAAGCCAGAGUUCAUACCCCUAGGCUGAUGAAUCACUGGAUGUGGGCUAUCCCUGGAAGAAGACAUGACCUUGGCUGAAAAAGUUUUCCUCAGGAAUCUCCCCAAAAAUCUGAUACCUAAGAGACGACUUCUGGUAAUACUCUGAAAGAUGGGGAAUAAGUC